This is a long non-coding RNA of Oncorhynchus masou masou (cherry salmon), 1133 nucleotides long. RefSeq lists it as uncharacterized. The record is from RefSeq and is a predicted model, not a curated record. The transcript is spliced from 3 exons. Lineage: Eukaryota; Metazoa; Chordata; Actinopteri; Salmoniformes; Salmonidae.
CUAAGACUAAGAAGUUCCUGUCAAUGGAUAUCUGCAUUAAGAGGCAUUACUUAGUCUAGGACUAGGCUUAAUCCAUGUCUAUGAAACUGUUCUUAGUGUAGUAAUUGUUCAGUUGUUUUCCUUGCUGUUUCUGUAAACUCUUAUGUUGGACACAUUAGAUUACAUUUAAACAAGGGCAUAUAUACCCUUAAUAGAAAAGUUUAAACCUGUAUUGCUGUAAUGGAUUUAGUGGCUGUUGUGCCAGUCACUUCUGUUUGCUGGUCGUGAGACAUGUUGAGUGAUUUUAUAGUCUAUUCAUUUUCUUUUUAUAUCCCCAUGUAGGUUGUACUGAAGCCGGUAACAAUCACACAACAUCACUGUUCAUGUGUUGCUGGCACCUCAUUAUGCAACCACACAGUUGUGUUACUAUUCCAGUCUGCACACUAUUCCCAGAUGGGAACACCAGUCUUCCCACCUGUGCACAGCUGCACAGAGGCCGAGCAGCAGUGGCAUAAGCCAAGGACAAUGGGUCUGCAACCUGGGCCCAUAGGCAUAAUGACCAUCACCUAGCCCACCAAAAAGCGCACGGCAGAAUGAGGGAUUAGGUGGCUUCAAGUACAUUGUUGAGAUUGGCUAACCACAGCGGCUGCUUUGCUUUGUAGAAGUACUCUACAGCGCCCUUCUUGGACCACUCCCCGACCUCUCAGUCCUCCAGAUAGAAUAGGCAUACAAUAACUUUGACCCUCUAUCCAAGCCAUUGAUCUGCAGCAUGGGGAUGUCUGCUGAAAAGCUUUUAGUCGGCUCCCACUUUGGAAAGGUACAGGUGGGGAGCCUCCUGUCUAACCAGCAGCCUCCAAUCACAACGUGACACAUAGUUCACCAUAAGGAGACACCACCAUUCCCUUCACUGCCCCUGGAUGGCUACAGACUAGAGAGCGACUGUCAAGGCUGCACAUGUGUGCUCAGUGAAGACGACCAGCUUCACAUGAGGGAAUACAUAAAGACCCAGUGGUGUUCUCACUAAUUAGAGAGAAGGGUGACUGGUACUACUUGUGUACAUGCAAAAGUUCUUAGGAAGGAAAGACUAAAUAAUAAGGGAAGGGCUCCUUUAUCUUUCAAUUAAUGAAAGAGAAACAAAACAAAUCUGUCUGCAA